This is an RNA transcript of Acinonyx jubatus (cheetah), 4351 nucleotides long. It is a transcript of the gene named dendrocyte expressed seven transmembrane protein, with no coding region annotated. The transcript is spliced from 2 exons. Lineage: Eukaryota; Metazoa; Chordata; Mammalia; Carnivora; Felidae. The record is from RefSeq and is a predicted model, not a curated record.
AGUCUAGAUUUCUGGCUUCUUUUGGAAAAAAAAAAACAACAGCAGAAAAUUUGGCAACACUGGGACUCCAUACAGGCUUGAAAAAAAAAUCUGUUGGUUUGGAGGCUACUUUACCUAUAACUGUCACUGGGGCCUGGGCUCUCUGGCCCCCAAGACCUACUGCCCAUUGCUCUAUACCCCUCACCCCAAGAAGUGUCUGUGCCUCCUGAUUUCCUUUAUUCUUUACAGUGCUUGUCUGACCCUUGUAAGUAUUUACAAUGCUGAGGGCUAUCCACACUGCCCUGAUUUUCCGGCGCAGGACAGCCCGACCCUGCGACGUGCCCCCCCACCGCCCCGCCGCCGCUCCCCAGACCAACAGAAAGUGUGGGCACCUGCACUGAACAUACCUCUCAGCUCCCUGAUCCUGGGAGAGAACGAUGGACCUGUGGCCUUGACCUCAGACCGGGAUGGGCCUGACACCAAAUGGGCUGGUUCAGGGGAGGAGUGAGCCUGAGCUUAACGCUGGCCGGAACAGUCUCUAAGGAAAACAUGGAGUAGGACACAGCUGAGCAAAAGUGCUGGCCCGGGGAAAAGAGAUCCCCAGUCAGCUCUGGAGGGUCCGCUGGGCAUGUGCUGCAGAGGGGGGUGGGGGCCACCAGAUGCAGAUGACAGUGCAAGGAGAGCUGACACCAGCACUAUGAAAUCCACAUUCCUGGAUGCAUGCGUGAUUAGGGUUCUGGGAAUAUAUUUCAAACAAAUUUAGAAACUACUCCUUGGGGUGCCUGGGUGGCCCAGUCGGUUGAGCGUCCGACUUCGGCUCAGGUCAUGAUCUCACAGUUGGUGAGUUCGAGCCCUGCAUCGGGCUCUGUGCUGACAGCUCAGGGCCUGGAGCCUGCUUCGGAUUCUGUGUCUCCCUCUGUCUCUGCCUCUCCCCCACUCAUGCUCUGUCUCUCUCUCUCUCUCUCUCUGAAAAAUAAAGAUAAACGUUAAAAAAAAAAAAAGAAACUACUCCUUUAAGACAGUUUUAACAGAGUCUAGGAAGCUGCCCAUCUUGAACCCUCAGUGGCGCUUAAAUGUGGGUCAGAAUUCCAGUUCAUCCACUUAUCAGCUGUGUGACCUUGGGCAAGUUAUUUAACCUCUCUGAGCCUCAGUUCGCUCAUCUAAAAUAUAUAGCUAUAAUAAUAUCUAUAAUGUCUAGAGCCGUGAAGAUUAGAAAUAAGGUACAUCAUCAGAUGCGAAAACAGUGACCAGGCACUUGGUGGACAAAUUGAGAGACAUAACCUAUUAUUGUUGUUAUUUUGCUAAAGCCUGGGAGGCACAAGCAACAGUUUGUCCACUUUUCUAUUUAUGUAUGUUGGGGUGCCUGAGGGCAAACUUGGUAUAUGGGAAAUUUUUUUUUUUCUUUUUAUUUUUUUUGGCAUGUGGGAAAUUUUAACUCCAUUACCCAGGAACACCGGUAAGGAUUUUGAAACAGAGUUCGCAAAGAGUCAGAAGUGAGACGCAGAUGUGAUGGGAAAAGUGGGGGAGAACUGGGGUCUCCCCCCCCAGCUCUGUCUCCAUUGCCAGGAUAGCCUCAGCCAGUCACUUUGCCUCGUUGGAUUUUGUUUCCUCAUCUGUGGAAAUCAGCUGGCAAGGUGUCAAUCAUCUAGAGCUGUGCCCUUCGGUACCAUGACACCAGCGACACGGGACUAUUUAAAUUUGAAUUAUUAAAAUUAAAUCAAGUUAAAAAUUCAACUCCUCAGUCACACUGGCUCUAUUUCAAGUGCUCAAUCAUCGCAUAUGGCUAGUGCUGACUGUGUUGGACAGCACAGAUACAGAACAUUUCCCUCGUCACAGAAAGUGCUAUCAGACAGGGCGGAAUUCAAGAGCUUGCUACCCAGUGCCUGUCCUCAGAUAAGCAGCAUCAGCCACCUGGGAACUUGCCAGAAAGACAAAGUCUCAGGUGCCAUUCUAGACCUUUAGGACCAAGAUCUGCAUUGUAACAAGGCUGCCCCAGUGAUCAUAGACUCAAGUUUAAGAUGCCCUGAUCUGUGAGAUUCCUUUUGGCUCUCAAAAUGAAAUUUAGGAAUCUGGGUCUCUGCUUGACAAAGUCUAUGGGAAAGAAAGGAGCAACUGACUUCUCCAAAUCUGGAUUCCCAGAUUCGCCUCAAAGGAAAGAAUUGGGGCCAUCCAAGGAAACUUUAACAGGACAUCAUACCUCUGCAGAAGAGGAAGGGAAUCAGCAGACUUCUAAAGGAGCCAUGGAAACAGCAGUGCUGGGAAGGCAGUGCAAUCUCACUCCUGUCGCUAUUCCUCCCUUGAACUUGGGGCAUCCAGUUGUUGCUUGAAGACCUUCAGAGAAUAGAAGUUCUCAAGUUCUCAUUUUUUUUUUUUUUUUUUUGUGGCCGCCAAAAAAAAAAAAAAAAACCAAAAACAAGAAAUGGGCUGCAUUUACUGGGCACUUUCUGUCCUGGUCGUCUUAAGGGGCUUGCUAAAACUCUCCUCGUCCAACUACACCAGAAAGGAGCUCAGGCAGAACUGAUAUUCAAGUAGGGAAAAUGAGAAACAGAUUGGGGAACAAAUCAAGGCCACGUUCAACAAUGACAGGAAGGGCAGACUGGACACCAGCUUGUGGACAUGUGGUCCCAAGCCCAGGUCUGUGGCUUAAACUAUAAAAUAAGAGAGGAUACACUCAAUCCUCUCACUGCAGAAAGUUUUGGUGUCUUUUGGUGAUGUGCUGUUUUCAGUACAAAAAUAAGGAGGAUAAUAUUAAAUCUGUUGCUCAUUAAGAAAACAUGCGCCUCUUACAGGACAAAAUUGCAGCUGUAUAUCUUAUUUAAUUGUUAUUAGUUUGUAUCACCCAAUGUUAAACUUUUAAUGUGUCCGUAAAUCUGUUUCUUACUGUCAGAGAAAUAUCUGUAUUAGGAAUACACUGUGCAAGAAUGAAGACGAGAGAAGGGAAAUAUGAGUCCAAAAUACACAUUAUUAAUUUUUUAGGAAGCCAGGAGAAGGGUGCCUCACGAAGCAUAUUAGAAAAAAAAAGCCAAAACAGCUGGGAUUUCUGAUUUGCUUGAGAGAAAAACCUGCUGAAUCGAGACGCAGCCUUACAGGGCCAUCUUCGGCAGGGGGAGAAGUGAGCAGGUAGAAAUGGGUUUGUGAUAUACAGGUCAACUCUUAAACAUGACGUCACUGGCAGAACGUGCCAUGCUUUUCCAGCAGACACACAAUGAGCUGAGUGUCCUGUCACAUAAGCUGGAGUCAUGGAAUCUGGCCAUGGCGCGGGGUGCAGGGAGCUGGACCGGGAGGCAGGGAGAGCAGGUCUGGACCCCACCACCGACUCUCUGGGUGUUCUGAGGCUCGGAUUUCCGCGAGCCUCUGAGCCUCGGCCUCUGUGUGAAAUGCAAAGAGCAUUUCUCUUUGGGGGCUUCAGGGAGAGAGAUGCUCUACAUAAAGUGAAUGGAAUGGGCCGUUAAUCCCUAUUAGUGGAUCAUUUAGACAAAUAAAGGUUUGGGGGUCAAACCCAAAGCUAUGGCAAAGAAAGUGAACAGGGACAUGGCUGGGAGGAGGGACAGCACUUCCGACCUGCUCUGAUGCAUCGUGUCCUGCCCACCUGCUCACCGCUGACAGCAGCUGUCCUCCCGUUCAGCCCACGAGGCAGCUGACUCUGGCUGGCAGUGCUGGGGAAGGUUCGGGGGCACAGGAGCCCUUUGGUGAUUUCCAGGGGUCAAAACAGAGUGGGAGAGGGGUCAGUGCAUGGAAGAACGACCAACCUCCAAACCAGCUUCCAAAUCUGAAAGGAGGCAAGCGUGCAGGAGGAAAGACCUCUGUCCUUUUGCUGGUCCCUGUUCUAACAGCUAUUCCAAUUCCCCUCUGGACAGCGUGAGAAUAUCCUCUUACGUGGGAUUCCGAAUCUCUAAAAAGGCCGGUCCCACAUGGUAAUCACCCUUCUUCAACACUUCAUUUGUCUCCAGGUCUCUUUUCUGUGCCGAGCGUUUCCCCUCACGUGACGGGAGCCGUACGCCCUCUACAUUAUUGUAGGAGAAACAUCCACAGAUACUUUCAUGCCAAUCAAGAAAGAAACGUCUCAAAUUGAUUUUAUAUCAUUCCAAAUGAACCCAAGACCGUCUGAGUGCAUCACAGACCUAAAGAUGCAUGACUGACAGGAUGGAAGCAGGCUCAUUAGCACCUUCAUUUUAAUCCUGCCAGAUCUGGGAAUAAAGAAAAGGUGAUCCGUUCAGUGACAAAACAUUCUUAUUUCCCUUGCAAGAUUCUCAGAGAGCAACUGCCCUCAGAGGGUAAGGGCGGGCUGGAGGGUGUGGGUAAGACACAACCGUUCGUUACAGGGCAGAGACACAAUGGCUUCCGUCCGGUGCCUCAUUUAGGUUUGGGUGCC